GACAGAGGGUGCAAACGUUGCUCGGAAUCACUGGGCGUAAAGGGCGUGUAGGCGGGAAUGUAAGUCGGGCGUGAAAUCCCUAGGCUCAACCUAGGAACUGCACUCGAAACUGCGUUUCUUGAGUAUCGGAGAGGAAAGCGGAAUACCUGGUGUAGAGGUGAAAUUCGUAGAUAUCAGGUGGAACACCAGUGGCGAAGGCGGCUUUCUGGACGAUAACUGACGCUGAGACGCGAAAGCGUGGGGAGCAAAC
RNAcentral lists this ribosomal RNA (250 nucleotides) under uncultured bacterium. RNAcentral describes it as "partial 16S ribosomal RNA". It matches the Rfam family "Bacterial small subunit ribosomal RNA", at positions 524 to 773 of the family's 1533-position model. The record is from RNAcentral.